CAAUGAGGACAUUUCUUCUUUUUAAAGGGGGUAAGGCGCAAAUAAAUUGCUCAAACUUUAAAGUUUUUUUUUUCUUUUUCAAGUAUGCUUCAAUUAUUUCUUUCAUAAGUAUGUUCUAAUAACUGAAUGUUUAGAGAUAUUUUUUUGUUACUGAGAUAGUUUGUAUGCAAGUAUGAAUGAUGAUUUUAUCUAAGUGAAAGUGUGUUAUCAUGAAGAAUGGAAUGCUUGUAUGAUCU
RNAcentral lists this long non-coding RNA (236 nucleotides) under Gossypium raimondii (Peruvian cotton). Its description in RNAcentral is "long non-coding RNA (GRAI_LNC006366)". The record is from RNAcentral. Lineage: Eukaryota; Viridiplantae; Streptophyta; Magnoliopsida; Malvales; Malvaceae.